CUCUAUUUACCUAAAAUUUGCAUUUUAGUCUUUAUGUUGUUGUACUUAUCUAGUCUUGUUUCUAUUUGAUUUUUCUCCCCCAUCCAACCACUGUCAUGACUGGCGUUUCACUGAAACAUGCUUUCUAUGAGCCAAUAUGUGGAUGCUUUUUUAUUUGGAUGGGAACCAUAUAUUUUGGUCAUCGCCAACUUCCUAUAUUUGGAGCAUAUCCUAAAGGGUAAUGUUUUAAAAUCUCAGCUGAAAUCCAUAGGGAAAAUAAGUGCUCAUUAUUUAACAAGCUUAAUCAAGCUUUGAGAAGUAAGUUCUCAUUACCUGAGCUUAAUCAAGCUUAGAGAGUAAAUUCUCUUAACUUAAAGGAGAGUUCAAAAUGUAAAGUGUCACUGUUGCAUGCAUUAUGUUCAAAUGUACAAGUCUCACUAGUUCAUGCAUUAAAUUCAAAUGUCCAUGAGGCUUGUAUUUAUAAGGGACCCAACCGACUACCCAUGAAUAGGUGUCUAUGACUUGAUGCUUGACGAAAAAUCUCACAAAACUCAAAAAGAAACCGCACACUUUCCUCAUACAUAAGAACAUCCAACAAUGAUUUGUCACAUACUUUUACACUUAAUGCUUGGUAUGUACACCCAUGACAGCUCAUGAUGUAUCAUGGUUUAUGCACCAACCUCAUGCUUUUUUUUUAACACACACCUACCCACCCCACACGGGCAAUUCAACCCAUGACUUCAUUGUUGAAACACACUCUAUCUACCACCAAGCUCAUGCUGUAUCAUGGUUCACCAACCUCAUGCUUACUGUCAUGAAACCACAAAUAAUCAAACAUAAUUGGUAUCUAGCAUCUCCAACAUAUCGCCUUGACAGUUCGGUCCAACUGCCUGUACAACUACUCGAACCCAGUCUUACCUGUCUAAUCUACUUGAGGUUUUAUUGAAUAAAGAAGAAUAGAAGGAAAAAAAUGCCUCUGGUGUGGUAGGUAGGAUGACAGAUUUUUAAGAGGAGUUUAUGGAUUUGAGCUCCACUAGGAGGUCAUGCAUUUCAUUAAGAAAAACACUUGGCCACCAAUUGGCCUAGUUAUCCCACUUGUUUUGUGGCUGGUUCAGGUCCAAACCAGUCUGACCAUCCGGUCCAAUCCAGUUUUGACAACACUGCUAAAUAGUAUGCAAAUCACCUGUUGAUGAAUACUAUUUAUUAGUUCACAUUUGAUCGCACUAGAAUUUCUCUCCUCUACAUUUUAUCCUGGAAUGUUAAGGGGUGAUGAGCAAACAAGGAAAAAGGAAUCAGAUAAAGGAUGUUUGUAAAAGAAAUAAGGUGCAGCUGAUUACUUUUCAGCAAACAAAAGUGCAGAGCUUUAGCUAGAAGUUGUUGCGGACUAUUUAGGGAGUUAAAAAUGCUGAAUGGGUAUCUUUGUAUGCUAUUGGCAGAUCACAGGGAGUGGCUGCGGCAUGGGAUUCCUCUGUAUGGUCAAAAUCUGACUGGUGGAGUAGCUCAUUUUGGAUGUCUGUUCUGUUGAAAGACAAGACUUCAGGUUUCGAAUGGCUGUUCACUUUGGUAUAUGGACCUAAUCAGGAGGACAAAAGAAAGGAGUUUUAGGACGAACUAUCUGAUUGCCAAGCUAAAUUCAGCAGGCCAUGGUGCAUAGGGGGUGAUUUUAAUGUCACCCUUUUUUCUUUGGAGAAGUCGAAUGGGUAGAGAGUUAUUGGGAGCAUGAGAGUGCAUGAGAGUUUUCUCUGAUUGGAUAGACUUUUGUGAGCUGGCAGAUUUGCUGAUGGAAGGAGGAAAGUUUACGUAGUCCAAUGGCCAGUCAUUUCCAACUAUGUCCAUAUUAGAUUGUUUUCUUGUCUCACUAGAUUGGAUCAAGAGUUUCCCGUUAGCUUCUCAAAGGGCCCCACCAUAGGCGAUCUCAAAUCACUGCCCCUUGCUACUGAUGCUGGACGUGGAGAAUUGGGGGCCGAGGCCCUUUAGAUUCGAGCUCAGCUGGUUGGAGAUCGAGAACUUCUUGCAAAAGAUUAAGGACUGGUGGUCUAUGUUUGAUGUGGAAGGCUAUGCGGGAUUCAAGCUUUCUUGGAAGUUGAGAUUAUUAAAAGAAAAGUUAAAAUCUUGGAAAAAGUGGAGUUAGGUAUGUGGGAAAAAGAAACAUCCGAAAUCUUUUGCAAGCUUCAAGCCUUGGACGUUAAAGCGGAGAAUAUGGGACUGUCUUCUGAGGAUUCGAUAAUGCGGGCUAAACUUACGUAAAAGUACGCUAGAAGGGUUAAAGAAGAUGAAAGUACAUGGAAACAGUGAUCAAGAAGCAUGCGGAUUAGGGAGGGUGACAGAUUUACCAAGUACUUUCACUGAAUAGCUAAGGGCAAGAAUUAAUAAAAUUAGUGGUCUUGUUUUUUAUGGCACCUGCAUUGAAGGGAAGGAGUCUAUCUGUUGAAAAUUUUCACUUCUACGAGAACAUGUUAACGGGAGAGGAUUGGAUAAGGCCACACCUGGAUAAUUUGUCCUUCAACCGCUUCUCGAUUGAGGAAGCCAAGUCGCUUGAGGUUCCCUUUACAGAGGAGGUUAAGGUUGCUGCAGACUUGUUGGAAGGUGAAAAAUCACUGGAGAACAAUCUCAACACUAGGGGAAAAAUAGUUGGUCAUCUCAAAUCUACUCCAUUUGGAGAAUUCUAUACUUAAAAUAGGCCAAGGGACUGUGUACCAGUUUACAAACUACUCUAGAGGAUAUUACUGCACUUCUUUUUUUUUUUUACACACUUUCACACCCACACACACCACAAUGGGCGCUCAAACCUAUGACCUCUGUGUUGAAACUCCUAUGAGUCUACCACCGAGCCAUGAGUAGGGACCCAAAGGAUAUUACUGCGCUUUUCACCAAAAUAGAUUGCAAAAAAUAAGAUGGAAACGGAAAAGGGUUGCUUUUGAUGCUGGGGUCUCAGCUUGACUAGAGCUUAAAAGCCUCUCACAAGGCUGUCGUAGGUUUGGUUUCUUAAUAGCAGCAGCAACUAAGAUGCACGGAGAGCAUGUUGGCUUAUUCACUGCAAAGUACAAAGCAACCAAAAUCUUGGCACAAAGGAUUGAGAAAAUAAAAGAUGCUAGACUAGUAUGACCUGAAAUCAUAAUGAUCAAACAAUCCUAACCAUCCAAUCUGUCUAUCAAAUGGAUGGCUAGAAUAAAAGGGAACAUCUCAUCUGCAACAAAUUGUAGAUGAGAAAACUGUGCAACAAUCUUAGUGUGGGGGUCCACCUUGGUGCACAAGGCAGCUCAUCUGCACGGCACAUACUGACACAAAUGACACUGACAGCAUGGAAGAUAGGUGAGAGAUCAAUCCAUCAAUCAUGCGAGUCCAUUCGUGCAGAUUUUCUUCCUCAAAAAUAAAUCUAGUCCACUCAACAUAUGGAACCCUCUAUUAGAAACAGGUGGUCAGGUUAGAUAUGAUCAAAUGGAGUCGACUAAACCAGUGCCUCUUGUGGUAUCAGGCUCUGUGGGGUCCACUUGCUGUAUGCAUAACCCAUCCAUCAGAUACGCCUCCUUGCGUUUGGCCUUUGGCUAAAAAAUGAGGCUGAUCUCAAGACUCAAGUAGGCCACACCACAUGGAACGUUUGGGAGGGAAUGCCCACCAUAAAUUGUGAUGCGGCCCACCUAAGUUUUGGAAGGGCCUAUCCUGCGUGCUGUAUGUAUGUCAUCCAACCCAUCCAUCAGAUACACCACCUUGUGUUUGGCUAGGGGCUCAAAAGCAGAUCCAAAACUCCAGUGGGCUACACCACAAGGAAUAGUUGGGAGGGGAUGCCUACCAUUAAUUGCGGCGUAGCGUAGCCCUCCCAAGUUUGGAAUGGCCUGAUUUUUGCGGUGUCCCUCCAUCUUUGUGGAAUGUGUGAAGUGAAUGGAUUUGAUGGUAUGUAGAGAGCAUUGUGGCACCCACAUGGUUAAUGGUGUGCAUCCCCUCUUAAAUGUUCCCCGUGGUGUGGCCCACCUUUUUGUUUGCCUGAUUUUUCGACUCAUGGUCCAAAAUGAGAGGGUGUACUAGAUGGAAGGAUAUUAUCUUCAUAAUGGUGUGAGGACAUUAUCUUUCAAGGUCAUCAUUAUCAUCUAAGCCUUAUCCCAAUUAAUUGGGGUUUGCUACAUGAAUACCGUUUUGCCAUUCCCAAGGUGUUCCAAAAUGGUAACGGUGGCUGUUACAGCCACCGCCAUUACCGUUACAAUACGGGCCGUUAUGACCUUUU
Magnolia sinica is the source of this 4198-nucleotide long non-coding RNA. RefSeq lists it as uncharacterized. Lineage: Eukaryota; Viridiplantae; Streptophyta; Magnoliopsida; Magnoliales; Magnoliaceae. The record is from RefSeq and is a predicted model, not a curated record. The transcript is spliced from 2 exons.